GACUCUUGGACUCACACGAACCAGAGCCUUCUCCCCACACUCGAGCGGCGGCGACGAUUCUCUCCGUCUCCGGUCAAACUUCCCCGCCACCGUCCGGCCACGUCACCAAUGCCUCUCUCCCGGUCUCCCUUCUUUGUUCACUCGAUCUCUCAAUGCUUCGGUUUGGCAAGGGCAAUCCAGUGUUUCUUCGAUUUCGUGAUGAUGAUGAACGUACGCGAAGGUGAAGAUGAUCGUCAAUAACAAGAAGUUCAAGUCGGUUUUUUGGCUCAAAUGCGAGAUGUUACAGGUUUGACGAGUAUUCUUGGACUGAUGCAAAUGCACUGGCUGUCUCAGUGAUGCAGGUUAUGCACGUUUGCUACUGAGACGGUUCAGAACUGGGAGGUUUGUAGUUGCGACAUGGAGUUGAAUUCGGCUUAUGAAACUCACAGUUUGGCUUGAAACAUGAUCACGUAUAGCAGGUUCUGGCUUAACAAUGCAAUUUGGUUUGAUGGAAUCUCGCGGGUUGGCAUAUGGUACUUUUGGAGGUUAUGAAGAUGAAGCGAAAUGGCUUGUUGGAAGCAAAAUGAAGCUGACUUAGAAACAGGAUAGGGUUUAGGAGGGGGUGCUGACUUUGGUCCAACAAUCAUUAUUAUUUUUGUAAUUUUUUGUAAGUUUGGAAAGAGCCUUGAAUAGUUAUUGAAUGGAGGCUUUGUUAGAAAUCUUGGAUAGAAUUGAAUGGAACUUGUUUAAAUAAUGGUGUAUACCUUUGAUCCAUAGUUAAAAUGAAUGGA
This is a long non-coding RNA of Vicia villosa (hairy vetch), 770 nucleotides long. RefSeq lists it as uncharacterized. The transcript is spliced from 4 exons. Lineage: Eukaryota; Viridiplantae; Streptophyta; Magnoliopsida; Fabales; Fabaceae. The record is from RefSeq and is a predicted model, not a curated record.